This 33-nucleotide transfer RNA is filed under the name Pristimantis pardalis (leopard robber frog). Its description in RNAcentral is "partial tRNA-Met". Lineage: Eukaryota; Metazoa; Chordata; Amphibia; Anura; Strabomantidae. The record is from RNAcentral.
CCAAAGAUGACGGUGAAACUCCGCCCCCUACUA